GCUUUAGUGGUGUAACGGCAGCACACUUGGCUCGUAUUUGAGAGGUCCAGGUUCGAAUCCCGGUGAGGGCA
Molecule: transfer RNA, 71 nt
Filed under: Stegodyphus mimosarum
Lineage: Eukaryota; Metazoa; Arthropoda; Arachnida; Araneae; Eresidae
Rfam family: tRNA
About the family: Transfer RNA (tRNA) molecules are approximately 80 nucleotides in length. Their secondary structure includes four short double-helical elements and three loops (D, anti-codon, and T loops).
Source: Rfam by way of RNAcentral